Molecule: small nucleolar RNA, 88 nt
Organism: Quercus robur (English oak)
Lineage: Eukaryota; Viridiplantae; Streptophyta; Magnoliopsida; Fagales; Fagaceae
Product: small nucleolar RNA snoR27
Exons: 1
Source: RefSeq, a predicted model, not a curated record
AUUGGAUCAAUGAUGUUUAGAAACUGCGUUAUCUAUCUGUAAUUUCCUAAAUGGAAUUGAAGAUAAUAAUAACAUUCUGAGAUCCAGU